GCAUUGUACUGCGAAACUGCGAAUGGCUCAUUAUAUAAGUUAUCGUUUAUUUGAUAGCAUACUUCUACUUGGAUAACCGUGGUAAUUCUAGAGCUAAUACAUGCUAAAAAUCCCGACUCCGGAAGGGAUGUAUUUAUUAGAUUAAAAGCCAAUGCCCUCUGGGCUCUUUGGUGAAUCAUGAUAACUGUUCGAAUCGCACGGCCUUGCGCCGGCGAUGGUUCAUUCAAAUUUCUUCCCUAUCAACUUUCGAUGCGAGGGUCUUGUCCUCGCAUGGUUACAACGGGUGACGGAGGGUUAGGGCUCGACCCCGGAGAAGGAGCCUGAGAGACGGCUACUACAUCCAAGGAAGGCAGCAGGCGCGCAAAUUACCCAAUCCCGACACGGGGAGGUAGUGACGAAAAAUACUGAUACAGGGCUCUUUUGGGUCUUGUAAUUGGAAUGAGUACAAUUUAAAUCCCUUAACGAGGAACAAUUGGAGGGCAAGUCUGGUGCCAGCAGCCGCGGUAAUUCCAGCUCCAAUAGCGUAUAUUAAAGUUGUUGUGGUUAAAAAGCUCGUAGUUGAACCUUGGGCCUGGCUGGCCGGUCCCCCUCACCGGGUGCACUGGCCCGGCCGGGCCUUUCCCUCUGUGGAACCCCAUGCCCUUCACUGGGCGUGGCGGGGAAACAGGACUUUUACUUUGAAAAAAUUAGAGUGCUCCAGGCAGGCCUAUGCUCGAAUAGUUCAGCAUGGAAUAAUGGAAUAGGACGUGUGGUUCUAUUUUGUUGGUUUCUAGGACCGCCGUAAUGAUUAAUAGGGACAGUCGGGGGCAUCAGUAUUCAAUUGUCAGAGGUGAAAUUCUUGGAUCUAUUGAAGACUAACUACUGCGAAAGCAUUUGCCAAGGAUGUUUUCAUUGAUAAGGAACGAAAGUUAGGGGAUCGAAGACGAUCAGAUACCGUCGUAGUCUUAACUAUAAACUAUGCCGACUAGGGAUCGGACGAUGUUAUCUUUUGACUCGUUCGGCACCUCUCGAGAAAUCAAAGUGCUUGGGCU
RNAcentral lists this ribosomal RNA (1031 nucleotides) under Nautosphaeria cristaminuta. Its description in RNAcentral is "SSU rRNA". It matches the Rfam family "Eukaryotic small subunit ribosomal RNA", at positions 71 to 1113 of the family's 1831-position model. The record is from RNAcentral. Lineage: Eukaryota; Fungi; Ascomycota; Sordariomycetes; Microascales; Halosphaeriaceae.